RNAcentral lists this ribosomal RNA (254 nucleotides) under uncultured bacterium. RNAcentral describes it as "partial 16S ribosomal RNA". It matches the Rfam family "Bacterial small subunit ribosomal RNA", at positions 524 to 776 of the family's 1533-position model. The record is from RNAcentral.
UACGUAGGGGGCGAGCGUUGUCCGGAGUUACUGGGCGUAAAGGGCGUGCAGGCGGUGCGGUAAGUUUAGCGUGACAGUCUCCGGCUUAACUGGAGAAGGCCGCUGAAAACUGCUGGACUUGAGGGCCAGAGAGGGACAUAGAAUUCCGGGUGGAGUGGUGAAAUGCGUAGAUAUCCGGAGGAAUACCAAAGGCGAAGGCAGUGUCCUGGCUGGCAACUGACGCUGAGGCGCGAAAGCUAGGGGGAGCGAACAGG